UGGGGAAUAUUGCACAAUGGGCGCAAGCCUGAUGCAGCCAUGCCGCGUGUAUGAAGAAGGCCUUCGGGUUGUAAAGUACUUUCAGUCGGGAGGAAGGUGGUAAGGUUAAUAACCUUAUCAAUUGACGUUACCGACAGAAGAAGCACCGGCUAACUCCGUGCCAGCAGCCGCGGUAAUACGGAGGGUGCAAGCGUUAAUCGGAAUUACUGGGCGUAAAGCGCACGCAGGCGGUUGAUUGAGUCAGAUGUGAAAUCCCCGGGCUUAACCCGGGAAUUGCAUCUGAUACUGGUCAGCUAGAGUCUUGUAGAGGGGGGUAGAAUUCCAUGUGUAGCGGUGAAAUGCGUAGAGAUGUGGAGGAAUACCGGUGGCGAAGGCGGCCCCCUGGACAAAGACUGACGCUCAGAUGCGAAAGCGUGGGGAGCAAACAGG
This 429-nucleotide ribosomal RNA is filed under the name Chloroflexota bacterium. RNAcentral describes it as "Chloroflexi bacterium partial 16S ribosomal RNA". It matches the Rfam family "Bacterial small subunit ribosomal RNA", at positions 355 to 776 of the family's 1533-position model. The record is from RNAcentral. Lineage: Bacteria; Bacillati; Chloroflexota.